RNAcentral lists this long non-coding RNA (5579 nucleotides) under Danio rerio (zebrafish). RNAcentral's name for it is "si:ch73-280b7.3 (ENSDARG00000096879.2)". The record is from RNAcentral. Lineage: Eukaryota; Metazoa; Chordata; Actinopteri; Cypriniformes; Danionidae.
GUCGAGGGGAAUAUCUUGCACACAAACGCAGGGGAUGUGUCCAUUUUAAAGUGGAGAUCUCCAGCUCUUAAGGAGACAUGGGACUUGGACAGUCCAGGAGGACGUCGGUUAGCGAUGAAGACCCAGCCGAGGUCAAUUUUGACCACUUUCAGAUUUUGAGAGCCAUCGGCAAAGGCAGUUUUGGGAAGGUUUGCAUUGUUCAGAAAAAGGACACCAAGAAAAUGUACGCCAUGAAGUAUAUGAACAAACUUAAAUGCGUGGAGCGCAAUGAGGUGCGCAAUGUCUUCAAAGAGCUCCAGAUCAUGCAGAACCUGGAGCAUCCUUUCCUGGUCAACUUCUGGUACUCGUUUCAAGAUGAGGAGGACAUGUUCAUGGUUGUAGACCUGCUGCUGGGAGGAGAUCUGCGCUAUCAUCUACAGCAGAACGUUCACUUUACGGAGAGCACCGUCAAACACUACGUGUGUGAAAUCGCUCUGGCUUUGCACUAUCUGCGCAACAAACGCAUCAUCCACAGAGACAUUAAGCCAGACAACAUUUUACUGGACGAGCACGGUCAUGCACACCUGACAGAUUUCAACAUAGCUGCUAUUGUGAAGGAAGACUUAAAAGCCACAUCUAUUGCAGGAACAAAGCCAUAUAUGGCCCCAGAACUCUUCCAGCUGGUGGAGGGCACACAUCCAGGCUACUCUUUCGAUGUGGACUGGUGGUCUUUAGGGAUUACUGCGUAUGAGCUUCUCCGUGGACAGAGGCCGUACAUCAUGCGCACCAACACACCAGCCAAUGAGAUCCUGCAGACGUUCCACAAAGCACAGCCCUGCUACCCUGCGGCCUGGUCUUCAGGGAUCAAAUCCCUCCUAAAUAUGCUGUUGUGUGUGGAUGCUCAGAAGAGGAUUUCCAGUCUCUCGGAGCUCCAGGAUCUGGAAUAUCUCUCGGAUGUCAACUGGGAUGCUGUGCUCAGCAAACAAAUCCCUCCUGGAUUCCUCCCUAAUAGGCGGCGUCUGAACUGUGACCCCACAUUUGAGCUGGAGGAGAUGAUCCUGGAGUCCAAACCACUGCACAAAAAGAAGAAGAGGCUGGCGAGGAAGACCAGGGAGAACGGCUCGGAUGGAUCUCCUCAGAACGGGCAUAUCCAGCAGCGCUUAGAGACUGUCCAAAGAGAUUUCAUCGUCUUCAACAGAGAAAAGUUGAGGAAAACCAGAGCAGAUACCGAGACCAACAACCUCAGCACAGAAGAGACAAGCAAAGCCAUUCAAGAUGGACAGAACAACAAUGUACAGCUUAACAGUUAGCAUUUAGCCCGAUCAUCCUUUUCAAUCAACGCUUUCAGCAAAGCAAUCGCCACCGCAGUUUCCAGCAGAAUGCAUGAGAACAUCCAUUCAGGACAGACUGGAGCAUCUGAAUGGACGCUUCCACCUCGUGUGACCCUCUGCAUUAAAACUGAUGGUGUGCGGUGGUUUAGUGAACACCGCACAUGCAGAAAUAACUGAAUGAUGAUGCUCUCUGGACCUGGCUGUGAAAUGUGUGCCUUACUAGCGAAUGGAUUUCCCUAAUGCGUCUGGAGGCACAUGGAGAUUUACUGCUGUCUGAUUCAGCGAGCGAUCAGACUCCGAGCCGUUCGCCGGGAUUUAUACAGCUGCUCUUGUUGCAGAGAACACAAACAUAUUUAGUUCAGCUCAUUACGCCUACCGUAUGUGAUUAAUACAGUGUGAAUCUUUACAGAGCUGCAAAAAAAAACAUCCUGUCAUUAAUGCCGUAGAGGAGAUUAUUUGGCCUUUCUAGAUCUUUUGGUUUUGGAUUCGUUGCUGGAUCCCUGAAUAAGAUAUUGAUCACACUGUACAGAUGAAAUAAUAAUAAUAAUAAAGAGUUUAAUAGCAGCAUCUGACAAGUCUGAUUGAGGUUGUGCAUGGUUGAGGUAGACUGGCUCAUCUGUAAAGCCAGAUAAACACAGCACAUUUUCAGCUAAGCCAGCGUUUCUCUAACUUAUUCUGCCAUUCACCACUUGGACGUAGGGAUGGCUUGCUCUAAUAAUCAGACCCUCCACAAUUUUACGAUCCAGCGAUUGCUGACUAAUGCAAAAUCAAGCAAAUUUUUUUGGCAUUCUUAUUAUUAUUAAUAUUAUAUAUAUAUAUAUAUAUAUAUAUAUAUAUAUAUAUUUUUUUUUUUCCUUCUUUUAAGGGUUUUCAUCUUUAUUUGGCUAGGACAGUGGAGAUUUUACAGACAGGAAAGAGUGGGGAGCAGAGAUAGGGACAGGAUCGGCAAAAGACCUCGAGCCGGGAAUCGAACUCGGGUCGCCGUGAGCACCUUGGUGCUAUGUGUCGACGCACUAACCACUAGGCUAUUACCGCCGACAUUAAUAUUAUAUUUUUUAUAUUUUAAGAUUUUCAAAUAUGAUGAAGUUUUUCUCAGUGUUUCGUUUUCUUUAUAUGAAUGACAGAAAAAAAUUUAAUAAAGAAUUAUUCAACGCAAUCUCACGGCAAUUCGUAACUUUUUGAUUUAAUGGCUAAUUUGUAUGAAUUCAAUUUAGUACGAUUUGCUCAUCACCCAAUGACGGUUGGGGUUAUGGGUGGGGUUUGGUGCCACGCCUCCUUUUUAAAAUCUUACAUUUUCGUACGACUGAACUUGUACGAAUUUGUACGAAUUAGCCACUAAUGCCUAGUUCAGACUGCGUGAUUUUAGCCACGAUUUUGGCUCGACGACAGGUUUUGAGAAAUCGCCGACUAAUGCCUGAAAUCACAAGUAAAUCGCUGCACGUGCACGUGAGUGGCAAUCACAAAAUAUGAAUUAUCAAAGACGCGAAAGAAUCGCAGAUGAGUCGCUGAUGCCUGCGAGAUAUUUGGCGUGCUGAAUAUCUGGAGCUGUCUGCGAUUCAAAUCAUGCCGUGUGAAAUGAGUUUUGACUGAAAAUAACAUCAGCCAUACAGCCAAUGAGAGAGCAGCAUUCACUUGUGUGUGUGCAUGUGUGUAUACCUGCUGCAGGCCAGCGGGAGGCUGGGGGAGAAGUUAAAAGCGCUCUUUUUCGGUUUAUUUGGACUCACGAAAUGGAGGAAAAACUAGUGGAGGUUUGACAGGACUCAGGAGCAACCGUGUCGGUUUGACAUUUCAUACAGAAAGAAAUUAGUUUAUUAUCAACAGUGAGGAGAAAUGGCUAAUUCCCUUUAAACCCAGGUGAGCAAACAUGUACAUGUUCUACCCCAUUAAAGGCUUCUUUCUCAUUAUGUAGUUAAUAACAAAAGAUAUACUACAUGUUUUUGGCUGUGAGACGUAGUUUGGACGUAGUUGUCGGCGAUUCUUCCUAUAGUAAAGUCAUGCAAUGUGAAAGUCCCUGUCGCCGAUCCAUCUUGCAGUGUUAACAAAGCAGCGAUGAAAUGCAAGCCCAGAUAGUCAAGCAGUGUGAAAACAUCUGUGACACGACUACUUUGAAAAUCAUGCAGUCUGAACUCGGCAUAAACUGGCAAAACAUAAAAUACUUACGUUUCCUCGUGAGAUCAGGCUGAAUUAUUCAUUUAUUCAUUUUAUUUUUGGCGUAGUCUCUUUAAUAAUACAGGGUCGCCACAGCGGAAUGAACCGUCAACUUAUCCAGCAUCUGUUUCACACAGCCGAUGCCCUUCCAGUUGCAACCCGUCUCUGGGAAACAUCCAUACACACUCAUUCACACACAUACACUACGGACAAAGCUUACCCAAUUCACCUGUACAGCAUGUCUUUGGGCUGUGGGGGAAACCGGAGCACCCAGAGGAAACCCACACAAACGCAGGGAGAACAUGCAAACUCCACACAGAAACGCCAACUGACCCAGCCGAGGCUCGAACCAGCGACCUUCUUGCUGUGAGGCGACAGCACUGCGCCACUGCGUUGCCAUAAAGAAUUGUAAUGAAGCUAAAUUGUCCAUAGUGUAUGAGUGUGAAUGAAAGUGUAUGGGUGUUUCCCAGUGAUAAAUGGUAAAAAUAUUGGUGUCUUUGAUGCAGUGUCCAGAGCCUGUUGUGUACACCAUGGUUUUAAAUAAAAUUCACUUUAAUGUGUGAUACGACUAAAAGGUGGCCCUAAACAAAUACCCUCAUAGCAAAAUAUCUCUGGUCCAGUUCUGGCCCAAACAAUCGGCUAUUGCUUGGCCCACAUGCCGCAGUGAAUUGUGGUACAUGACUGGACCAAAUCUGGCUUCCAGACAAGGGUUAAACAUGGACCAUAUCUGGUCCGAGUCUCAGCCAAGUUAAUAAUCUAUAACAGCCUGAAUUGGGUCAGAUAUAUUGGUGUAUCACGACUGCAGUGACCCACAAAGCGAACGGACUUGGCCCAAAUGUGGCCUCAUUAUUGCACUGCUGGCGUGUUGACGACACUGGCAUGCAUGUCAGCCGAAUGUGGGCCAUGCAUGGCAAUGAUGGCACUGCAUGCAUGAUGGCAAACUACAUUUGGGCCAGUUGUGGACGGUAGGUGUGUGGCCCGGAUCAGUGUAGCGAUUGUUCACAUCAGGUAAUGUUAGGCUGGAUUAUGGCUCAGUUUUUGGGGUUUCCCUGCUGGUUGUGGUUAAAGUAUAAACUUAUAGCUGAGAAUCUGUACCAAUAAUAAACCUGUUUUGACCCAGUUCAGGGUCAGUUAAGGGUGAUAAAUUGGCUGAGAUUCGGGACUUGUGGCCCAUGUGUGGCCCUUGUCUUUAAUCCAGUUAUGGGCCACUUCAUGACCGUCAUUCUUUGCGGUACUUGUGCCGUGGGAAAAGUUAUUGUGUGGCAUGGAGCUGGGCCAGAAAACAUUUGCUAUGUGGGGAAACUGAUAAAUCCAUUAAUCAUUGUGCUUUAGGUAUGCUAUGGGCGUGCUUUUUAUAAAGCGACUUUUUUUGGAAAUAAUAAAAAUGUAUUUUGGGUCAAGAUAGGUCGAACUUACAUGGCCCACAUAUCAAUUAUUAACAUCUGGCCCAAGUAUUGUGUGCCGCCUUAAAUACGGUGCCACCUCUGCUAAACCAGGGCCAUGUUUGACCUACAUGCUGUAUGCCAGUGCCGGAUGAAUGCCUGCUGUGCCAAACUUAUGCCAAAUCUGGGCCAGAAUUCUUUGCUAUCUGGGUAUUAACUCAAUUCAAAUCUACAUCACGACUUAGCAAGCAGAUAGUUGUAGAUUCAAAAACAAGAUGCUAGUUAGCUAUGCUAAUGAGAGAGAGAUCGUCACUAGUGAGCGGGGCUUUCCCCCUCUGAUGACACGUACAAAGCGUGAAUGUCAAUCAAAGUGUUUCUGCAGACGGUUUUUAUGAAGUGUGAUGAUAAAAAAUACAAUUAAUACAUUUGUACCAUUAGAAGGUAGUUAUAUUCACACACUGCUGCCACACAACUGUAUUUAAACCCCUUAUAAAAGUGAUUUGUGCGUAAUAGGUGCCCUCAAUGAAUGCGUGUAAUGAAUAAGGCGAGACAGCAGGAGGACACCUGUGCUGUGGAGUUCAUCUGCGGUACUAAUGAAACACACAUGAAGAAGCUUUGAGUCCUCAGAAACACCCCGGCCGGUGUUGAAGCAGAUGAGAGACACUAUGCUGGACACCUUCAGGAACAGCUUCGCUUUAAAUGACUCAAAGUGUGGAGAGAGUUUUCUUACAACAUUGCU